Molecule: ribosomal RNA, 750 nt
Filed under: Priestia megaterium
Lineage: Bacteria; Bacillati; Bacillota; Bacilli; Caryophanales; Bacillaceae
Description: bacterial SSU rRNA
Rfam family: Bacterial small subunit ribosomal RNA
Source: RNAcentral
GAUUAUUGGGGCGUAAGCGCGCGCAGGCGGUUUCUUAAGUCUGAUGUGAAAGCCCACGGCUCUACCGUGGAGGGUCAUUGGAAACUGGGGAACUUGAGUGCAGAAGAGAAAAGCGGAAUUCCACGUGUAGCGGUGAAAUGCGUAGAGAUGUGGAGGAACACCAGUGGCGAAGGCGGCUUUUUGGUCUGUAACUGACGCUGAGGCGCGAAAGCGUGGGGAGCAAACAGGAUUAGAUACCCUGGUAGUCCACGCCGUAAACGAUGAGUGCUAAGUGUUAGAGGGUUUCCGCCCUUUAGUGCUGCAGCUAACGCAUUAAGCACUCCGCCUGGGGAGUACGGUCGCAAGACUGAAACUCAAAGGAAUUGACGGGGGCCCGCACAAGCGGUGGAGCAUGUGGUUUAAUUCUAAGCAACGCGAAGAACCUUACCAGGUCUUGACGUCGUCUGACAACUCUAGAGAUAGAGCGUUCCCCUUCGGGGGACAGAGUGACAGGUGGUGCAUGGUUGUCGUCAGCUCGUGUCGUGAGAUGUUGGGUUAAGUCCCGCAACGAGCGCAACCCUUGAUCUUAGUUGCCAGCAUUUAGUUGGGCACUCUAAGGUGACUGCCGGUGACAAACCGGAGGAAGGUGGGGAUGACGUCAAAUCAUCAUGCCCCUUAUGACCUGGGCUACACACGUGCUACAAUGGAUGGUACAAAGGGCUGCAAGACCGCGAGGUCAAGCCAAUCCCAUAAAACCAUUCUCAGUUCGGA